RNAcentral lists this ribosomal RNA (497 nucleotides) under uncultured bacterium. Its description in RNAcentral is "partial 16S ribosomal RNA". It matches the Rfam family "Bacterial small subunit ribosomal RNA", at positions 28 to 507 of the family's 1533-position model. The record is from RNAcentral.
GAUGAACGCUGGCGGCGUGCCUAAUACAUGCAAGUCGAGCGAACAGACGAGGAGCUUGCUCCUCUGACGUUAGCGGCGGACGGGUGAGUAACACGUGGAUAACCUACCUAUAAGACUGGGAUAACUUCGGGAAACCGGAGCUAAUACCGGAUAAUAUAUUGAACCGCAGGGUUCAAUAGUGAAAGACGGUUUUGCUGUCACUUAUAGAUGGAUCCGCGCCGCAUUAGCUAGUUGGUAAGGUAACGGCCUACCAAGGCAACGAUGCGUAGCCGACCUGAGAGGGUGAUCGGCCACACUGGAACUGAGACACGGUCCAGACUCCUACGGGAGGCAGCAGUAGGGAAUCUUCGGCAAUGGGCGAAAGCCUGACGGAGCCAUGCCGCGUGAGUGAUGAAGGUCUUCGGAUCGUAAAACUCUGUUAUUAGGGAAGAACAAAUGUGUAAGUAACUCUGCACGUCUUGACGGUACCUAAUCAGAAAGCCCCGGCUAACUACGUG